This 497-nucleotide ribosomal RNA is filed under the name uncultured bacterium. RNAcentral describes it as "partial 16S ribosomal RNA". It matches the Rfam family "Bacterial small subunit ribosomal RNA", at positions 28 to 507 of the family's 1533-position model. The record is from RNAcentral.
GAUGAACGCUGGCGGCGUGCCUAAUACAUGCCAGUCGAGCGGACAGACGAGGAGCUUGCUCCUCUGACGUUAGCGGCGGACGGGUGAGUAACACGUGGAUAACCUACCUAUAAGACUGGGAUAACUUCGGGAAACCGGAGCUAAUACCGGAUAAUAUAUUGAACCGCAUGGUUCAAUAGUGAAAGACGGUUUUGCUGUCACUUAUAGAUGGAUCCGCGCCGCAUUAGCUAGUUGGUAAGGUAACGGCUUACCAAGGCGACGAUGCGUAGCCGACCUGAGAGGGUGAUCGGCCACACUGGAACUGAGACACGGUCCAGACUCCUACGGGAGGCAGCAGUAGGGAAUCUUCCGCAAUGGGCGAAAGCCUGACGGAGCAACGCCGCGUGAGUGAUGAAGGUCUUCGGAUCGUAAAACUCUGUUAUUAGGGAAGAACAAAUGUGUAAGUAACUAUGCACGUCUUGACGGUACCUAAUCAGAAAGCCACGGCUAACUACGUG